Small nucleolar RNA from Myotis lucifugus (little brown bat), 107 nucleotides. The record is from Ensembl. Lineage: Eukaryota; Metazoa; Chordata; Mammalia; Chiroptera; Vespertilionidae.
GUGCCCCUUUAAGUGACGUAAGAGGCUAACACAGAAGGGCAAAUUCUCCGUAAAACCCAGAAAGGAGACUGUAAAACUCCUCUUUGGAUCCUGUCUGAGUCACGCUG